This 982-nucleotide long non-coding RNA is filed under the name Physcomitrium patens. RNAcentral's name for it is "long non-coding RNA (PPAT_LNC011054)". Lineage: Eukaryota; Viridiplantae; Streptophyta; Bryopsida; Funariales; Funariaceae. The record is from RNAcentral.
GUGGUGAGGUUCUGCUCUCUCGCCCGACGUUGCUACUGCUGUGAGUGUGCAUUGGUUCCUAUUUUUGUGGCUUAAGGCAUUGAAUUCAUCACUAAGUGUAGUCAUGGUUGGUUACCUUCCGGGUCCUCUCUCUAUGUCUUGCCAAGACAAACUGAUGGAGCGAGACCUAUCAGAUUUUAAGAUUCUAAACUUCUUUCAGAAAGCUGUGUUGUCAUGUGUAUUGUUACAUCAAUUAAUUUUGUCAUGUUUAUGAAUUGCAGCUUGAAACACUACACACCGACCCAUUACAAUGGCCAAGGAGAACGGCGGAAAGUGCGGCAACUGCGACUGCGCAGCGGGCACCUGCGCCAAGGAGAAUGGCGGCAAGUGCGGCAACUGCGAUUGCGCCGCAGGUUCUACUUCACAACCCUUAAUCCGUCACGACAGUCCUCAUCAGACAGGCAUAGGCUAAGCGCGUCAACUAGAGAACACAACCAUAUUCCUCGUCAUAUCUUGCUUUUCCGCUCACUAUAAUGGCGCAAACCAAAAGGUCGUCCUUGCAUGAUUUGCCGGCUUUUUUUGAACAUAUUACCAUGCAUGCCGCGUGAAAUUGUCGCUGACUGUGGCUAUGGUGGAGUUGACCCGUCAGGAACCUGCGCGAAGGAGAAUGGAGGCAAGUGCGGCAACUGCGACUGCGCUGCUGGAACUUGUGCCAAGGAAUAGACUAUCACCAAACAUGAUCGAUAGAUCAGGAGUGUAGACAAAAAAAUAUAUAUCUAAAAAAGAAAAGAAAAAAAGGUCCAUGUACCACUUACAUGAAUCUGUAUGUAUUGUGAGACUUAUAUUCGCAGUUGCCGCACCAUGGAUUGGAUUAGAAAGGCUAGCUGCGACGGGGGUGUGAGCAAAAAACGGAGAAGUGUAGUUGCAAUUUAAGAAAAAUUUGUAUCGCGUGUGUUCAUUGAAUAAAACCAGAGUGUGCUCCGGCACACACCUCCUUCUUUGG